GGUUAAGUCAGGCAACGAGCAAGACCCGUGCCCACAGUUGCCAGCAUACCCUCUGGGGUGAUGGGCACACUGUGGGGACCGCCGCUGCUAAAGCGGAGGAAGGCGCGGGCUACGGUAGGUCAGUAUGCCCCGAAUCAUCCGGGCUACACGCGGGCUACAAUGGUUGGGACAAUGGGCACCUACACCGAGAGGUGAUGGUAAUCUCCUAAACCCAGCCUUAGUUCGGAUUGAGGGCUGCAACUCGCCCUCAUGAAGCCGGAAUCCGUAGUAAUCGCGUAUCAAUAUCACGCGGUGAAUACGUCCCUGCUCCUUGCAC
This 316-nucleotide ribosomal RNA is filed under the name uncultured archaeon. RNAcentral's name for it is "bacterial SSU rRNA". It matches the Rfam family "Archaeal small subunit ribosomal RNA", at positions 1027 to 1342 of the family's 1478-position model. The record is from RNAcentral.